CUCACUUGAAUAGUCUGGAAUAUAGCAGUAUAAGCAGAUCAAAGGAUUUUUUAAUCUUAAGAUAUAGUAGAAGUAUUUUAUAAUAUUUCCCGCUGUUUAACUGAAAAAGCAACAUUGUACUAGGUCAGAUCAUCAAGGAUCAUUUUUAAAGCUGAUCCAACAUUUGGAAACAAACUUCCCAGGCAGUCCUCUCACUUUGUCACUUCCACAUGACUUUCCCAGGCACCUGGAUUCUGUCAGGAGCAAAAACAACAGAUGCCAUAAUCUUCAUCUGCAGGGGCAAGGCACAUCCUCUUCAGUUCACUCCAGCUUCUCCACCUGCAGAACG
Molecule: long non-coding RNA, 328 nt
Filed under: Cyanistes caeruleus (blue tit)
Lineage: Eukaryota; Metazoa; Chordata; Aves; Passeriformes; Paridae
Description: lncRNA (ENSCCEG00000021305.1)
Source: RNAcentral